UCAGUACCGUGAGGGAAAGGCGAAAAGAACCCCGGGAGGGGAGUGAAAUAGAUCCUGAAACCGCAUGCUUACAAAAAGUCGGAGCCCUUUGGGGUGACGGCGUACCUUUUGUAUAAUGGGUCAGCGACUUACAUUCAGUGGCAAGCUUAACCGAGUAGGGAAGGCGCAGGGAAACCGAGUCCGAACAGGGCGAUUUCAGUCGCUGGGUGUAGACCCGAAACCAGGUGAUCUAUCCAUGGCCAGGAUGAAGGUGCCGUAACAGGUACUGGAGGUCCGAACCCACUACUGUUGCAAAAGUAGGGGAUGAGCUGUGGAUAGGGGUGAAAGGCUAAACAAACCUGGAAAUAGCUGGUUCUCUCCGAAAACUAUUUAGGUAGUGCCUCAAGUAUCACCAUCGGGGGUAGAGCACUGUUAUGGCUAGGGGGUCAUCGCGACUUACCAAACCAUUGCAAACUCCGAAUACCAGUACGUACUAUCCGGGAGACACACGGCGGGUGCUAACGUCCGUCGUGAAAAGGGAAACAACCCAGACCCACAGCUAAGGUCCCAAAUUCACUGCUAAGUGGAAAACGAUGUGGAAAGGCAUAGACAGCCAGGAGGUUGGCUUAGAAGCAGCCACCCUUUAAAGAAAGCGUAAUAGCUCACUAGUCGAGUCGGCCUGCGCGGAAGAUGUAACGGGGCUAAAUCAUUCACCGAAGCUGCGGACUUGUGCUUGCACAAGUGGUAGAGGAGCGUUCUGUAAGCCGUUGAAGGUAAACCGGGAGGUUUGCUGGAGGUAUCAGAAGUGCGAAUGCUGACAUGAGUAACGAUAAGGGGAGUGAAAAACUUCCCCGCCGAAAGACCAAGGGUUCCUAUCCCAUGCUAAUCAGGGUAGGGUGAGUCGACUCCUAAGGCGAGGCUGAAAAGCGUAGUCGAUGGGAAACGGGUUAAUAUUCCCGUACUUGGUAAAGCUGCGAUGUGGGGACGGAGCAGGUUAGGUUAGCGUACUGUUGGAUAUGUACGUUUAAGUUGGUAGGUG
This 1018-nucleotide ribosomal RNA is filed under the name Aurantiochytrium limacinum. RNAcentral describes it as "partial Bacterial large subunit ribosomal RNA". It matches the Rfam family "Bacterial large subunit ribosomal RNA", at positions 495 to 1526 of the family's 2925-position model. Lineage: Eukaryota; Bigyra; Thraustochytrida; Thraustochytriidae. The record is from RNAcentral.